Triticum urartu is the source of this 90-nucleotide non-coding RNA. NCBI's taxonomy places the organism in Eukaryota, Viridiplantae, Streptophyta, Magnoliopsida, Poales, Poaceae. The record is from Rfam.
AGGUGCUCCUGUUUGUGUAGCCAAGGAUGACUUGCCGGCCCCUUCUCCACUCGAGGUCGGCAAGUUUUCUUUGGCUACAUGAUAGCCUCG